Molecule: ribosomal RNA, 429 nt
Filed under: Bacteroidota bacterium
Lineage: Bacteria; Pseudomonadati; Bacteroidota
Description: Bacteroidetes bacterium partial 16S ribosomal RNA
Rfam family: Bacterial small subunit ribosomal RNA
Source: RNAcentral
UAGGGAAUCUUCCGCAAUGGACGCAAGUCUGACGGAGCAACGCCGCGUGAGUGAAGAAGGAUUUCGGUUCGUAAAACUCUGUUGUUAGAGAAGAACAGCGCAUAGAGUAACUGUUAUGCGUGUGACGGUAUCUAACCAGAAAGCCACGGCUAACUACGUGCCAGCAGCCGCGGUAAUACGUAGGUGGCAAGCGUUGUCCGGAUUUAUUGGGCGUAAAGCGAGCGCAGGCGGUCAAUUAAGUCUGAUGUGAAAGCCCCCGGCUCAACCGGGGAGGGUCAGUGGAAACUGAUUGACUUGAGUGCAGAAGAGGAGAGUGGAAUUCCGUGUGUAGCGGUGAAAUGCGUAGAUAUAUGGAGGAACACCAGUGGCGAAGGCGACUCUCUGGUCUGUAACUGACGCUGAGGUUCGAAAGCGUGGGUAGCAAACAGG